Molecule: ribosomal RNA, 685 nt
Filed under: uncultured bacterium
Lineage: Bacteria
Description: bacterial SSU rRNA
Rfam family: Bacterial small subunit ribosomal RNA
Source: RNAcentral
CAAUCUGCCUUUAAGAGGGGGAUAACAGUCGGAAACGGCUGCUAAUACCGCAUAAAGCAUUGAAUUCGCAUGUUUUCGAUGCCAAAGGAGCAAUCCGCUUUUAGAUGAGCUCGCGUCUGAUUAGCUAGUUGGCGGGGUAACGGCCCACCAAGGCGACGAUCAGUAGCCGGACUGAGAGGUUGAACGGCCACAUUGGGACUGAGACACGGCCCAGACUCCUACGGGAGGCAGCAGUGGGGAAUAUUGCGCAAUGGGGGAAACCCUGACGCAGCAACGCCGCGUGAUUGAAGAAGGCCUUCGGGUUGUAAAGAUCUUUAAUCAGGGACGAAAAAUGACGGUACCUGAAGAAUAAGCUCCGGCUAACUACGUGCCAGCAGCCGCGGUAAUACGUAGGGAGCAAGCGUUAUCCGGAUUUACUGGGUGUAAAGGGCGCGCAGGCGGGCCGGCAAGUUGGAAGUGAAAUCCGGGGGCUUAACCCCCGAACUGCUUUCAAAACUGCUGGUCUUGAGUGAUGGAGAGGCAGGCGGAAUUCCGUGGGUAGCGGUGAAAUGCGUAGAUAUACGGAGGAACACCAGUGGCGAAGGCGGCCUGCUGGACAUUAACUGACGCUGAGGCGCGAAAGCGUGAGGAGCAAACAGGAUUAGAUACCCUGGUAGUCCACGCCGUAAACGAUGGAUACUAGGUG